RNAcentral lists this ribosomal RNA (263 nucleotides) under uncultured archaeon. RNAcentral describes it as "partial 16S ribosomal RNA". It matches the Rfam family "Archaeal small subunit ribosomal RNA", at positions 748 to 1009 of the family's 1478-position model. The record is from RNAcentral.
UAGCCGUAAACGAUACUCGCUAGGUGUCGGCCACGGUGCGACCGUUGUCGGUGCCGUAGGGAAGCCGUGAAGCGAGCCACCUGGGAAGUACGGCCGCAAGGCUGAAACUUAAAGGAACUGGCGGGGGGAGGCACAACAACGGGUGGAGCUUGCGGUUUAAUUGGACUCAACGCCGGGAAGCUCACCGGAUAAGACAGCGGAAUGAUUGCCGGGCUGAAGACCCUGCAUGACCAGCUGAGAGGAGGUGCAUGGCGUAGUCGUGU